AAAGAUUAAAAACUUUCUAUGAAGAGAAUGCCAAAAUGAAAUGGCUACUAAAGAAAAUAUUUGCAUGAGAUGUGGCGAGGAAAUGGAAUUUAUCAAAAAUGUUCUCGUUUUCUAUCUUUUUGUUAGGGCUAUAAGGGGAGCAUCAAGGUUCAACUAUAAAUCUCGAGGGAAAGGAUUCCUAGGUUUCAAAUCUCGUAAGAACUAUAUUGUGACUUUUUCCCUUUCUUUUGGAUUUUUCUAUUAAAAAGUCUUAUCAAUAUUAUUUACUAGACUUUCUGGAAGGCUUGAAGUUGUCUUGUUUUUGAGGAUUUGAUAUUGACCUGGUCUCGAUGUGGAAUCACUUGCUUCAUGAUUUCAUUUACCUUGAUGACCUUGCGGAUAUAGUUACGGGUUCCUCUCUAGUUGUAUGAUCUCUAGCUCAAUGGCAAAAGCUAUUGGUUUCAAUUCUUAGUGCUUUCUUUUACCUUGCCUCUGGUAUGUUUGGCACUUGUGUUUUCUGUUGUGACCAUGUUGGUUGUUUGAUCAUUGGGGUCUUCAACCUUGUCCCCGCAACUGCUACCAAGGUUCAAGCAACAUGCUUCUUAGUUAAGGAUUAUGGAUGAUCAUGUAUUAUUUUAAGUUUGAUUGACAUAGCCUAAUCACUCAUCUCAACUCAACUUGAUUGAUAUCGUUCUUAUGGGAUUGAACAUGAUAUUCCAUGUUCUUUAAGCUAUUCCACAUGCUUUUUUUCUUUUUGUUGGUUGAAAGUUAAUGAAGUGUUGUUGAUUAGGUAACUACAAACUCUAAACUUGGUCGUAGCGGGGGAAUUUAGAUUGUGGGGCCAACUAUUUUUAAAAAUUAAAAAAUUUAUAGAAGCCAUGUAAACUAAUGCAUAAUAUUACUCGUAGAUAAAUCAAUGUAUUUGGUUAAAUGUAAAACUAUUACAAAACUAUUAAAAAUAAUAACUAAAAGAAAU
RNAcentral lists this long non-coding RNA (955 nucleotides) under Gossypium barbadense (sea-island cotton). RNAcentral describes it as "long non-coding RNA (GBAR_LNC015321)". Lineage: Eukaryota; Viridiplantae; Streptophyta; Magnoliopsida; Malvales; Malvaceae. The record is from RNAcentral.